UGCCAGCCGCCGCGGUAAUACGUAGGGAGCAAACGUUGUCCGGAUUUAUUGGGCGUAAAGGGCUCGUAGGCGGUUCAACAAGUCGGUCGUGGAAGCCCGGGGCUCAACUCCGGGAUGCCGGUCGAAACUGUUGUGACUAGAGUUCGGUAGAGGUGAGUGGAAUUCUCAGUGUAGCGGUGGAAUGCGCAGAUAUUGAGAGGAACACCAUUAGCGAAGGCGGCUAACUGGCUCGGUACUGACGCUGAGAUGCGAAAGCGUGGGGAGCAAACAGGAUUAGAUA
This 280-nucleotide ribosomal RNA is filed under the name uncultured bacterium. RNAcentral's name for it is "partial 16S ribosomal RNA". It matches the Rfam family "Bacterial small subunit ribosomal RNA", at positions 506 to 784 of the family's 1533-position model. The record is from RNAcentral.